Molecule: long non-coding RNA, 274 nt
Organism: Pipra filicauda (Wire-tailed manakin)
Lineage: Eukaryota; Metazoa; Chordata; Aves; Passeriformes; Pipridae
Exons: 4
Source: RefSeq, a predicted model, not a curated record
AGCUUCCUCAGCUGCAUUUCACAUCACCCAGUUAACAGCUCAAAGAAUAGAGAAGAUGCUGGUGCCAGGCCAGGCUGCCACUGAGCCCUGGAAUCAGGAUCCACACCUAUGCUCCAACUGGAACACGACAUCGCUAGAUAAACAAGUGUGACUGCCACUUGAUGCAAAGGCAAGACAGAUGAGAAAGUGUCUUGGUGGGUGAAACGGUUUAAUCCAUGCACGUGGGAAAAGCAAACUUCUUGUUCACACCUAUCUCUGCUACCAGUAAGUGACA